RNAcentral lists this ribosomal RNA (540 nucleotides) under fungal endophyte sp. ECD-2008. RNAcentral's name for it is "eukaryotic LSU rRNA". The stretch from base 185 to 338 matches the Rfam family "5.8S ribosomal RNA". Lineage: Eukaryota; Fungi. The record is from RNAcentral.
UGUGACAUACCUAUCGUUGCCUCGGCAGGUCGUGCUGUCCGGCAGCUGCUACCCUGUAGGAAGUGCUACCCUGUAGUUACCCUGUAGUUGGUAGGAGCUACCCUGCAGCACGCCAAAGGCCUGCCGGAGGACCCCCAAACUCUGAAUCUACUGUAUCUCUGAGUAUAACACAAAAAUAAGUUAAAACUUUCAACAACGGAUCUCUUGGUUCUGGCAUCGAUGAAGAACGCAGCGAAAUGCGAUAAGUAAUGUGAAUUGCAGAAUUCAGUGAAUCAUCGAAUCUUUGAACGCACAUUGCGCCCAAUAGUAUUCUGUUGGGCAUGCCUGUUCGAGCGUCAUUUCGACCAUUAAGCACUAUUUGCUUAGCGUUGGGAACUUACGCACCGUAAUUCCUCAAAUUCAGUGGCGGAGCCGGGUCAUGCUCUAAGCGUAGUAACUAUUUCCUCGCUUCUGCAGCUGGCCUGUAUCCUGCCGUAAAACCCCUAAAUUAUAACUGGUUGACCUCGGAUCAGGUAGGAAUACCCGCUGAACUUAAGCAUA